CCUACGGGAGGCAGCAGUGAGGAAUAUUGGUCAAUGGACGAGAGUCUGAACCAGCCAAGUAGCGUGAAGGAUGACUGCCCUAUGGGUUGUAAACUUCUUUUAUAAAGGAAUAAAACGAGGCACGUGUGCCUUUUUGUAUGUACUUUAUGAAUAAGGAUCGGCUAACUCCGUGCCAGCAGCCGCGGUAAUACGGAGGAUCCGAGCGUUAUCCGGAUUUAUUGGGUUUAAAGGGAGCGUAGAUGGAUUGUUAAGUCAGUUGUGAAAGUUUGCGGCUCAACCGUAAAAUUGCAGUUGAUACUGGCAGUCUUGAGUACAGUUGAGGUAGGCGGAAUUCGUGGUGUAGCGGUGAAAUGCUUAGAUAUCACGAAGAACCCCGAUUGCGAAGGCAGCUUACUAAACUGUAACUGACAUUGAUGCUCGAAAGUGUGGGUAUCAAACAGGAUUAGAUACCCGGGUAGUC
RNAcentral lists this ribosomal RNA (460 nucleotides) under uncultured bacterium. RNAcentral describes it as "partial 16S ribosomal RNA". It matches the Rfam family "Bacterial small subunit ribosomal RNA", at positions 338 to 795 of the family's 1533-position model. The record is from RNAcentral.